AUGGGGGAAAACGAGGAUGAGAAGCAGGCCCAGGCGGGGCAGGUUUUUGAGAACUUUGUCCAGGCAUCCACGUGCAAAGGUACCCUCCAGGCCUUCAACAUUCUCACACGACACCUGGACCUAGACCCUCUGGACCACAGAAACUUUUAUUCCAAGCUGAAGUCCAAGGUGACCACCUGGAAAGCCAAAGCCCUGUGGUACAAAUUGGAUAAGCGUGGUUCCCACAAAGAGUAUAAGCGAGGGAAGUCGUGCACGAACACCAAGUGUCUCAUAGUUGGGGGAGGACCCUGUGGCUUGCGCACUGCCAUUGAACUUGCCUACCUGGGAGCCAAAGUGGUCGUGGUGGAGAAGAGGGACUCCUUCUCCCGGAACAACGUGCUACACCUCUGGCCUUUCACCAUCCAUGACCUUCGGGGCCUGGGAGCCAAGAAGUUCUAUGGGAAGUUCUGUGCUGGCUCCAUCGACCAUAUCAGUAUUCGCCAACUACAGCUCAUCCUAUUCAAGGUGGCCCUGAUGCUGGGAGUUGAAAUCCAUGUGAAUGUGGAGUUCGUGAAGGUUCUAGAGCCUCCUGAAGAUCAAGAAAAUCAAAAAAUUGGCUGGCGGGCAGAAUUUCUCCCUACAGACCAUUCUCUGUCGGAGUUUGAGUUUGACGUCAUCAUUGGUGCCGAUGGCCGCAGGAACACCCUGGAAGGAUUCAGAAGAAAAGAAUUCCGUGGGAAGCUGGCGAUUGCCAUCACCGCCAACUUCAUAAACAGAAACAGCACAGCGGAAGCCAAGGUGGAAGAGAUUAGUGGUGUGGCUUUCAUCUUCAAUCAGAAAUUUUUUCAGGACCUUAAAGAAGAAACAGGCAUAGAUCUUGAGAACAUUGUUUACUACAAGGACUGCACCCACUAUUUUGUAAUGACAGCCAAGAAGCAGAGCCUGCUCGACAAAGGUGUCAUCAUUAACGACUACAUCGACACAGAGAUGCUGCUGUGUGCGGAGAACGUGAACCAAGACAACCUGCUAUCCUAUGCCCGGGAAGCUGCAGACUUUGCCACCAACUACCAGCUGCCAUCCUUAGACUUUGCCAUGAACCACUAUGGGCAGCCUGAUGUGGCCAUGUUUGACUUUACCUGCAUGUAUGCCUCAGAGAACGCGGCCCUGGUGCGGGAGCGGCAGGCGCACCAGCUGCUCGUGGCCCUUGUGGGUGACAGCUUGCUUGAGCCAUUUUGGCCCAUGGGUACAGGCUGUGCCCGUGGCUUCCUGGCAGCCUUUGACACGGCAUGGAUGGUGAAAAGCUGGAACCAGGGCACCCCUCCCCUGGAGCUGCUGGCUGAAAGGGAAAGUCUCUACCGGCUGUUACCUCAGACAACCCCGGAGAACAUCAACAAGAACUUUGAGCAGUACACGUUGGACCCAGGGACACGGUACCCAAACCUCAACUCACACUGUGUCAGGCCCCAUCAGGUGAAGCAUUUGUAUAUCACUAAGGAGCUGGAGCACUACCCUCUCGAGAGACUGGGCUCGGUGAGGAGAUCUGUCAACCUCUCCAGGAAGGAGUCAGAUAUCCGGCCCAGCAAGCUCCUAACCUGGUGCCAGCAGCAGACAGAGGGCUACCAGCAUGUCAACGUCACCGACCUGACCACAUCCUGGCGCAGUGGGUUGGCCCUGUGUGCCAUCAUCCACCGCUUCCGGCCUGAGCUCAUCAACUUUGACUCUUUGAAUGAAGAUGAUGCUGUGGAGAACAACCAGCUCGCAUUUGAUGUGGCCGAGCGAGAGUUUGGGAUCCCUCCAGUGACCACGGGCAAAGAGAUGGCAUCUGCCCGGGAGCCUGACAAGCUCAGCAUGGUCAUGUACCUCUCCAAGUUCUACGAGCUCUUCCAGGGCACCCCACUGAGGCCCGUGGAUUCUUGGCGCAAAAACUAUGGAGAAAAUGCUGACCUCAGCUUGGCCAAAUCAUCCAUUUCUAAUAACUAUCUCAACCUCACAUUUCCAAGGAAGAGGACUCCACGAGUGGAUGGUCAAACCGGAGAGAAUGACAUGAACAAACGGAGGCGGAAGGGCUUCAAUAACCUGGACGAGCCUUCAAACUUUUCCAGCCGUAGCUUGGGCUCCAAUCAAGAGUGUGGGAGCAGUAAGGAAGGUGGAAAUCAGAACAAAGUCAAGUCCAUGGCGAAUCAGCUGCUGGCCAAGUUUGAGGAGAGCACUCGGAACCCCUCACUCAUGAAGCAGGAAUCUAUGCGAAAGUCAUUUCCCCUUAACCUGGGAGGCAGCGACACAUGUUACUUCUGUAAGAAACGUGUGUACGUGAUGGAACGGCUGAGCGCCGAGGGCCACUUCUUCCACCGGGAGUGUUUCCGCUGCAGCAUCUGUGCCACCACCUUGCGCCUGGCCGCCUACACCUUUGACUGCGAUGAAGGCAAAUUUUACUGCAAGCCUCACUUCAUUCACUGUAAAACCAAUAGCAAACAACGGAAGAGACGGGCAGAGUUGAAGCAACAAAGAGAGGAGGAGGCAACAUGGCAAGAGCAGGAAGCCCCUCGGAGAGACACUCCCACCGAAAGUUCUUGCGCAGUGGCCGCCAUUGGCACCCCAGAAGGCAGCCCCCCAGGUAUCUCCACCUCCUUCUUUAGGAAGGUGCUGGGCUGGCCCCUCAGGCUGCCGAGGGACCUGUGUAACUGGAUGCAGGGACUCCUGCAAGCCGCUGGCCUCCAUAUCAGGGACAAUGCUUACAACUACUGCUACAUGUACGAGCUCCUGAGCCUGGGGCUGCCACUCCUCUGGGCGUUCUCUGAGGUCCUGGCAGCCAUGUACAGGGAAUCUGAGGGCUCCCUCGAGAGCAUCUGCAACUGGGUGCUCAGGUGCUUCCCAGUCAAGCUCCGCUGA
This 2868-nucleotide small RNA is filed under the name Pan troglodytes (chimpanzee). RNAcentral's name for it is "retained intron". Lineage: Eukaryota; Metazoa; Chordata; Mammalia; Primates; Hominidae. The record is from RNAcentral.